UACGAAGGGGGCUAGCGUUGUUCGGAAUCACUGGGCGUAAAGCGCACGUAGGCGGAUCUUUAAGUCAGGGGUGAAAUCCCGAGGCUCAACCUCGGAACUGCCUUUGAUACUGGGGAUCUCGAGUCCGGGAGAGGUGAGUGGAACUGCGAGUGUAGAGGUGAAAUUCGUAGAUAUUCGCAAGAACACCAGUGGCGAAGGCGGCUCACUGGCUCGGAACUGACGCUGAGGUGCGAAAGCGUGGGGAGCAAACAGG
This 253-nucleotide ribosomal RNA is filed under the name uncultured bacterium. Its description in RNAcentral is "partial 16S ribosomal RNA". It matches the Rfam family "Bacterial small subunit ribosomal RNA", at positions 524 to 776 of the family's 1533-position model. The record is from RNAcentral.